CCUGAGAAACCCAAAAGAUCGAAUGAGGAGAUUCAUCGUCAGCGAUCCAGGUACGUGUACGGUUCGCGAUGCUGGGAGGCCUCGGCCUCGCGGCACGCGUCCGUAUCGUAUAUAUUGCCUGGUGUCGUCGGCGUGCACUUCUCCUCUAGUAGGACGUCGCGACCCGUUGGGUGUCGGUCUACGGUCCGGGCGGAAGUCCGUCAUGCGAUACGCUUCACGGCGUCGCGUGGCAGACCCCCGUUUGCCCGACCGACUGCCCGGCGGUACUCGCACGGUAUCGGGCCGCAAUCUUUGAACUGCGUCCUGGCCCGUCGCAAGCGAGGCUAGUGCUUCCCGGAUGCACGGACCCAGUGCCGUCACCGGACCUGGCCAGCUGUUGGUUGACGGGGUCUCCUUGGGACCGGCUCUGUUUAUGAUAAUACCGGUCGGCGACGCUACUGCUUUGGGUAUUU
This 452-nucleotide ribosomal RNA is filed under the name Erythrodolius calamitosus. RNAcentral's name for it is "partial 28S ribosomal RNA". Lineage: Eukaryota; Metazoa; Arthropoda; Insecta; Hymenoptera; Ichneumonidae. The record is from RNAcentral.